RNAcentral lists this ribosomal RNA (1389 nucleotides) under uncultured candidate division WS6 bacterium. RNAcentral describes it as "16S ribosomal RNA". It matches the Rfam family "Bacterial small subunit ribosomal RNA", at positions 15 to 1380 of the family's 1533-position model. The record is from RNAcentral.
GAUCCUGGCUCAGGAUGAACGCUGGCGGCGUGCCUUAGGUAUGCAAGUCGAACGAUCUAAAUCAUUUCGUUUACCGGCGUACUUCGGUACAAAAGUAAACUCGAUUUUGAUAGUGGCAGACGGCUGAGUAACACGUGAAUAACGUACCCUUUACACGGGGAUAGCCUCGCGAAAGUGAGGGUAAUACCCGAUGGUCAGUUUAGUUGAAAUACUUUACUGUAAAGAUUUAUCGGUAGAGGAGCGGUUUGCGGCCUAUCAGCUUGUUGGUGAGGUAAUGGCUCACCAAGGCUAUGACGGGUAAGGGGUGUGAGAGCAUGACCCCUCAGAAUGGCACUGAAACACGGGCCAUACUCCUACGGGAGGCAGCAAUCGGGAAUCUUGCGCAAUGGACGAAAGUCUGACGCAGCGACGCCGCGUGGAGGAAGAAGCUCUGAGGAGUGUAAACUUCUUUUAUAGAGGAAUAGGAAGGAAGGUACUCUAUGAAUAAGGACCUGCUAACUGCGUGCCAGAAGCAUCGGUGAUACGUGGGGUCCGAGCGUUAUCCGGAAUUAUUGGGCGUAAAGAGAGUGUAGGGGGUUUGGUUGAUCUUUAUUUAAAGACUCUGGCUUAACUGGAGGAAAGAUGAGGAUAUCGCCAAACUAGAAGUAAAAAGGGGAGAUCGGAACGUGUGGUGUAGCAGUGAAAUGUGUUGAUAUCACACGGAACGCCGGGGACGAAGGUGGAUCUCUGGUUUCUACUUGACCCUGAGACUCGAAAGCUAGGGUAGCAAAACGGAUUAGAUACCCGUGUAGUCCUAGCCGUAAACGAUCCCUGCUAGAUGUCUGUUGUCGCUGCAUUUUUCCUUCGGGAAAAGUUGUAGCUCGAUGGGUGUCGCAGUUAACGCGUUAAGCAGGGCGCCUGGGGAGUACGAGCGCAAGCUUAAAACUCAAAGGAAUUGACGGGGACCCGCACAAGCAGUGGAGCGCUUGGUUUAAUUCGAUGCUAAGCGAAGAACCUUACCAGGGCUUGAACUAUAGCUACUAAGCGUAUGAAAGUACGUCUAUGGGUUUGAUGCUAAAGAGGUGCUGCAUGGUUGUCGUCAGCUCGUGUCGUGAGAUGUUGGGUUAAGUCCCGCAACGAGCGCAACCCCUAUCUGUUGUUAUAAUUUCUACAGAGACUGCCUGGCCCAAACCAGGAGGAAGGUGGGGAUGACGUCUAGUCAGCAUAGCCCUUAUGUCCUGGGCUACACAAACGCUACAAUGGGUGAUACAACGGGCAGCCAAACCGCAAGGUGGAGCGAAUCCUUUAAAAUCAUCCUCAGUUCAGAUUGCAGGCUGAAACUCGCCUGCAUGAAGUCGGAAUUGCUAGUAAUCGCGGAUCAGCACGCCGCGGUGAAUACGUUCUCGGGUC